RNAcentral lists this ribosomal RNA (490 nucleotides) under uncultured bacterium. RNAcentral describes it as "partial 16S ribosomal RNA". It matches the Rfam family "Bacterial small subunit ribosomal RNA", at positions 28 to 507 of the family's 1533-position model. The record is from RNAcentral.
GAUGAACGCUAGCUACAGGCUUAACACAUGCAAGUCGCGGGGCAGCAUGGGGGUUGCUUGCAAUCCCCGAUGGCGACCGGCGCACGGGUGAGUAACGCGUAUCCAACCUGCCCUUCACCACGGGAUAACCCGGCGAAAGUCGGACUAAUACCGUAUGUUGUCCAUUGACGGCAUCCGAUUUGGACGAAAGGUUUGGCGGUGAAGGAUGGGGAUGCGUCGGAUUAGCUGGACGGCGGGGUGACGGCCCACCGUGGCGACGAUCGGUAGGGGUUCUGAGAGGAAGGUCCCCCACACUGGAACUGAGACACGGGCCAGACACCUACGGGAGGCAGCAGUGAGGAAUAUUGGUCAAUGGGCGUAAGCCUGAACCAGCCAAGUAGCGUGCAGGAUGACGGCCCUAUGGGUUGUAAACUGCUUUUAUGCGGGGAUAAAGUGGCCCACGUGUGGGUUUUUGCAGGUACCGCAUGAAUAAGGACCGGCUAAUUCCGUG